CAAGGCCAACCUCGAAGUCAUUAACAGAUGGAGCUUUGUGAUUCCCAAGCACCGUAGACACAGGACCUGGAAGCACUUUUUAAAAAGACUCCAGGCUCCAGAUUUGGAAGGAUUUGUGACUGUGACCGUUGUCCUUCCUGCAGCACCAGUGUGUGCUUGUGGAGACAGAUGGAGAGUCACAUGGACUGCUCAACUACUGAACCAACAACCCCCCUUCUGCACUCUCCCAGAUGCCUGAGGACAAGGCCUGAGAAACAAAAGCGGAUGGAAAGGCUUAUCAUAUGGCUGUAGGCAGUAAUCCUUCUUAUUUUCCACAGAACAUUGCAAAACCAACCUGGCUGCAGAGCAUAAACUCAAGGACCUUUUUCAGCGUGGUACAUGUUGCUGGAGCUUUGCUGUUGGACAUGAUGUAAGAGGCAGGAUGAGCAGGUAUUUUCAGAUGCCAGCUUGAGCUGGCAGUGCUGACAGGUUGAAAAAUGAGUCCGGGGGUUGUAAGCUAAGCACAUUUUGAGCUGGGAGCAUCACAGAGAACAUCUGCCUGGUCAUUUUAACCAUGAUCCUGUUUUGUACUCCAAGCACGCUUUGUGUUUCAAGUGCAGCAAAGGCUGAUGAUUUACAUGUUAAAUCAAACCAUUUCAUUCAGGAUUUCUCCCAGGAGUAUAAAGCACUGACGAUGGCCACCAACAACAAAGAGCGUGGUGACACUGCUAAAAUACCAUGGAUUGGCCCCAGGACAUGCUGAGUUCUGGAGUAUCAAAUUCAGACCUUUCUUUUAACAAUAAAGCCAAGAAAAUGAUCAAAGAGAGCGAGUGCUGUACCCACAUCAGUGUAAGUGACAGCAGCCGCACACCUCCCCACCUGAUAACUCAUCAAACCUUUGCUAUUUCAUACAGAUCGCGGGUCAAUUAAAUACAUGCACUGUCUGCAUCGAGUCCUGCACGGGGCCAGCACCUUCCCAGCGGGAACAACCCUUCCCAUCGGGUACCAACAGCCCACCACCAA
Molecule: long non-coding RNA, 1002 nt
Organism: Melopsittacus undulatus (budgerigar)
Lineage: Eukaryota; Metazoa; Chordata; Aves; Psittaciformes; Psittaculidae
Exons: 3
Source: RefSeq, a predicted model, not a curated record